This 20-nucleotide microRNA is filed under the name Marchantia polymorpha subsp. ruderalis. Lineage: Eukaryota; Viridiplantae; Streptophyta; Marchantiopsida; Marchantiales; Marchantiaceae. The record is from RNAcentral.
UUGAAGGAUGAAACUGAUCU